AACGAACGCUGGCGGCAUGCCUAACACAUGCAAGUCGAACGAGACCUUCGGGUCUAGUGGCGCACGGGUGCGUACCGCGUGGGAACCUGCCCUUAGGUUCGGAAUAACUCCCCGAAAGGGGUGCUAAUACCGGAUAAUGUCUUCGGACCAAAGAUUUAUCGCCUUUGGAUGGGCCCGCGUUGGAUUAGCUAGUUGGUAGGGUAAAAGCCUACCAAGGCGACGAUCCAUAGCUGGUCUGAGAGGAUGAUCAGCCACACUGGGACUGAGACACGGCCCAGACUCCUACGGGAGGCAGCAGUGGGGAAUAUUGGACAAUGGGCGAAAGCCGGAUCAAGCAAGGCCGCGUGAGGGAGGAAGGCCUUAGGGUUGUAAAGCUCUUUUACCCCGGGAUGAUAAUGACAGUACCGGAAGAAUAAGCUCCGGCUAACUCCGUG
This 434-nucleotide ribosomal RNA is filed under the name uncultured bacterium. RNAcentral's name for it is "partial 16S ribosomal RNA". It matches the Rfam family "Bacterial small subunit ribosomal RNA", at positions 29 to 507 of the family's 1533-position model. The record is from RNAcentral.